RNAcentral lists this unclassified non-coding RNA (200 nucleotides) under uncultured Agaricaceae. Its description in RNAcentral is "sequence contains ITS2". Lineage: Eukaryota; Fungi; Basidiomycota; Agaricomycetes; Agaricales; Agaricaceae. The record is from RNAcentral.
AAUUCUCAACCCCUCCAGCUUUUGUGGCUGGCCUUGGGGCUUGGAUGUGGAGGUUUUUGCGGGCCUUUCGAGGUCGGCUCCUCUGAAAUGCAUUAGCGGAACCGUUUGCGAUCUGUCACAGGUGUGAUAAUUAUCUACGCCAAGUGGGUUGCUCUCUGUCUGUUCAGCUUCCAACCGUCCUUGCGGACAACUUUCUGAAC